CGUUAGCGGCGGACGGGUGAGUAACACGUGGGUAACCUACCUAUAAGACUGGGAUAACUUCGGGAAACCGGAGCUAAUACCGGAUAAUAUUUCGAACCGCAUGGUUCGAUAGUGAAAGANGGUUUUGCUAUCACUUAUAGAUGGGCCUGCGCCGUAUUAGCUAGUUGGUAAGGUAACGGCUUACCAAGGCGACGAUACGUAGCCGACCUGAGAGGGUGAUCAGCCACACUGGAACUGAGACACGGUCCAGACUCCUACGGGAGGCAGCAGCC
Molecule: ribosomal RNA, 272 nt
Filed under: uncultured Staphylococcus sp.
Lineage: Bacteria; Bacillati; Bacillota; Bacilli; Caryophanales; Staphylococcaceae
Description: partial 16S ribosomal RNA
Rfam family: Bacterial small subunit ribosomal RNA
Source: RNAcentral